CUCACCUGGGAACACCAACUAGACCACACAGCCCUGCCUCUAAGUAUGGCUUAUGGCCCCAAAUCUCCGCAGAAUGAAGGCUCGCCGGGGGCGACACACAGGACCACGGGAUGUGCUGUGGGGGAAGGAGGGUCCAGGUGUGCCUGUGCCCUUGGCUGAACCCCGAGCCAUUGCAGACCUCAGUCUUCCCGCCUGCAAAAUGGGCAGGCCUCCCAAGGGCGCUGGGUUAUAUAAGCCGAGAGUGAGGCUGGAGAGCAGUUGCUGUGUCCCAGUGACCCAUUAUGCAACCGCAUGUCUGGUUUAAGGAAACACACUCUCUCCCCGCUGAAGGCCAACUAGCUCACCAUCAACCCGGAGCCCUGCAGGAAGCAGGAGAAAGGCCACAGAGGAGGAGGAAGGGACCAGGGAGCAGUGCACCUGUGACUAAGACUUGUUUCUCGGUGGGACGGGCCGAGCUCUGCGUGUGCACCUCCACUCCUGAGAAGCGGCAGGGACGAGACCAGUGAGAGGGCACCCGCAGGCUCUGAAAGUCAAGCAAGGGUACGGCUCAUCAGAACCAGCGCGUGCACGGUCUCUCCAAUCCCAGAGCAGCUUUGGCCCCUGACGAUGUAACACAGGUACGUG
Cervus elaphus (red deer) is the source of this 624-nucleotide long non-coding RNA. RefSeq lists it as uncharacterized. The transcript is spliced from 3 exons. The record is from RefSeq and is a predicted model, not a curated record. NCBI's taxonomy places the organism in Eukaryota, Metazoa, Chordata, Mammalia, Artiodactyla, Cervidae.